GACGAACGCUGGCGGCGUGCUUAACACAUGCAAGUCGAACGGAAAGGUACUGCGUUUGUUGGGUGCUCGAGUGGCGAACGGGUGAGUAACACGUGAGUAAACUCCCCCUGACUUUGGGAUAACUUCAGGGAACUGCAGCGAAUACCCGAUAUGAGAUCCUGCAGCAUGGUGGUGGAUGGAAAGUGUCGGCGGUUGGAGCUGGACUAGAGGGUUAUCAGCCUGAUGGUGGGGUAGGUGCUUACCAAGGCUUUGAAGGGUAGCCGGCAUGAGAGGGGGAACGGCCACCUUGGGACUACGAUACGGACCAGAAUGCUACGGGCGGCAGUAGUGGGGAAUAUUGCACAAUGGGCGGAAGCCUGAUGCAGCAACGCCGCGUGCGGGAUGACGGCUUUCGGGUUGUAAACCGAUUUCGCCUGUGAUGAAGAGUUCGUGACGGUAAUGGGUAAAGAAGCACCGGCUAACUACGUG
Molecule: ribosomal RNA, 468 nt
Filed under: uncultured bacterium
Lineage: Bacteria
Description: partial 16S ribosomal RNA
Rfam family: Bacterial small subunit ribosomal RNA
Source: RNAcentral